Molecule: RNA transcript, 4445 nt
Organism: Centrocercus urophasianus (Greater sage-grouse)
Lineage: Eukaryota; Metazoa; Chordata; Aves; Galliformes; Phasianidae
Gene: TTC21B
Gene name: tetratricopeptide repeat domain 21B
Exons: 30
Source: RefSeq, a predicted model, not a curated record
CUCGCUCUGGUGGCGUUGGCUAGCAACGGCGGAGGCGAUGGACGCGGCGGUGCAGCAGGCCCUGCUCAACUACUACUGCCAGGAGUGCUACUUUCACCAUGUCCGGGCCGCGGCGGAGGAGGCGCUGGGCCGGCUGGGCAGCGACCCGGUGUUCCACUUCUACCGGGCGUACGGCGCGCUGCGCACAGGUGAUGUCCAAGAAGGUAUUCGACAACUGGAAUCCAUUAAGAACAAACAGGAAGUGUCACUUUGUGCAAUGAUGGCACUGAUCUAUGCCCACAAGAAGAGCCCUAAUCCAGAUCGGGAUGCUAUUCUAGAGUUGGAUACAAAACUGAAGGAGCAACGAAAAACAGCAGGACAGCAGGCUCUCUACUUCGCUGGCUUAUUUUUGUGGCAUCUUGGUCGUGAAGACAAAGCCCGGGAAUACGUUGAUCGGCUGAUCAAAGUUUCUAGUGGUGAUAAAGAGGGAUUGAUUCUGAAAGCAUGGCUUGAUCUCACUUGUGGGAAAGAAACUCAUAUUAAAAAAGCAGUGAAGUACUUUGAUGAAGCACUGCAGGAAGGGAAUGACGUUUUUGCUCUCCUUGGUAAAGCACAAUAUUUUGAGAUCCGACAGAAUUAUUCAGGAGCUCUGGAAACGGUGAACCAGAUAAUUGCAAACUUUCCAAACUUCCUUCCUGCUUUCAUAAAGAAAAUGAAGCUACAGCUAGCCUUGCAGGACUGGGAACAGGCAGUUGAAACAGCACAUAGGCUAUUGCAGAAAGAUGCUCUCAAUUUAGAGGCUACAAGAAUGGAGGCCUUGCAUUUUCUGUGCAGGGAAGGAAAUGUACGUGAGGCUUCGGCAAGACUGAGCGACCUCCUUAAAGCGUUGGACAGGUUGGAGCCGAGUAACUCACAGCUCCGCUACAAAAUGGCGUUAGCUUUCAGUAGAACAUGUGGCCGGAACCAGCUCAUCCUUCAGCAUACACAAACAUUAGUAGAAAGAGCAUUUAAUUUGGAUUCUGACAAUGCAGAAUUUGCUACGGAGCUUGGCUACCAAAUGAUUUUACAAGGAAAAGUGAAAGAAGCUUUAAAAUGGUAUAAGACUGCUAUGACACUUGAUGAAACAAGUGUUUCUGCCUUAACUGGAAUUAUUCGUUGUCAGCUAAUACAAGGGCAGCUAGAAGAUGCAGAACAGCAAUUGGAGUUUCUUAAUGAAAUCCAACAGUCCAUUGGAAAAUCUGGGGAAUUAUCUUUCUUGCGUGUGGUCCUUGCUAUGAAAAAGCAGAAGAGACAAGAAGAAGUGAUUGCCUUGCUGAAUGAUGUUCUGGAUACCCACUUCUCAUCUUUGCAUGGUUUUCCUCUUGGUGUGGAGUAUUUUGAAAAACUAAAUCCUGAUUUCUUGCUGGAAAUUAUUAGGGAAUAUCUUAAUUUUUGCCCGGCACAGCCUGCAAGUCCUGGGCAGUCUCCUUCACCGCUUCUCAAGCACUGUGCUUCUGUUCUUGAAACCGUGGUAAAAACUGUGCCAGGUCUUCAACAAGCUGUUUUUUUAAUUGCAAAGGUGAAAUAUUUAUCAGGGGAUAUUGAGGCAGCCCAGACUAAUCUUCGUUACUGUCUGGAAAGGGAUCCUUCUUAUGCAGAUGCACACUUACUGAUGGCCCAGGUCUAUUUGGCUCAGAACAACACUAAACUCUGUUCUCAAUCCCUGGAACUCUGCCUGAGCUACAAUUUUGAGGUGAGAGAGCAUCCAGUUUAUCACUUAAUUAAGGCUCAAACCCAGAAGAAGAUGGGUGAAUUAUCAGAAGCUAUCAAGACCUUACAGAUGGCGAGGAAUUUGCCUGGAAUGAGAAAACAUGCAGCUUCCUCAAAGGCAAAAGGAAAAAGAAUUGAAGUUGAUACGAGUGACCGUGUGGCUGUCUUUCUAGAACUUGUAGAGGCUCAUUGUUUGAAUGGAGAACCGCAUGAGGCCACUGUAGUACUGCAAGAUGCCAUUGAUGAAUUUUCUGGAACUCCUGAGGAAUUAAGGGUCACAAUUGCAAAUGCAGAUCUGGCAAUUGCUCAAGGAGAUGUUGAACAAGCCUUGACUGUGCUCCGAAAUAUUACACCUGAACAGCCUUACUUUGUACAAGCUAAGCUGAAGAUGGCAGACAUCUAUCUUCAGUGCAGGAGAGAUAAGAAGUUGUAUGCUGCCUGCUACAGAGACCUAGUAGAAAAACUGCCAAGUGCUCAUACGUUUCUUCUUCUUGGUGAUGCAUAUAUGAAUAUUCAAGAGCCUGAUGAAGCCAUAGAAGUCUACGAGCAGGCUUUGAAGAAAAACCCAAAAGAUCCAGCUUUAGCAAGCAAAAUUGGAAAAGCCUUAAUCAAAACACAUAACUACUCAAAGGCAAUCAGUUACUAUGAGGCUGCCCUGAAAAGUGGUCAGCAGAAUUUUCUUUGCUAUGACUUGGCUGAACUUUUAAUGAAACUCAAGCAGUAUGCAAAGGCAGAAGUAGUACUUCAGCAAGCUUUAGAUCACGAGUAUGUAAAUGAACUGUCUUCUCUGAUGGAAGAUGGACGUUACCAGGUUCUGUUAGCAAAAAUUUACAGCAAAAUGGAGAAGAUUGAUGAAGCUAUCACUUCAUUACUGCAGGCUCGAGAAUUACAAGCCAGAGUGCUUAAACGGGCUCAGACAGAACAGCCAGAUGCAGUUCCUGCACAGAAACAGUUAGCAGCUGAAAUUUGUGCUGAGAUUGCAAAGCAUUGUACAGUUCAGCGAAACUAUGAAAAAGCAAUUAAAUUUUACAAAGAAGCACUUGUUCACUGUGAAACUGAUAAAAAGGCAAUGUUGGAACUGGCACGUUUGUAUCUUGCACAAGACGAUAGUGACGCCUGUCAGCAUCAGUGUUCCUUGUUACUGAGGAAUGAGCAAGAUAACGAAGCAGCAACGAUGAUGAUGGCUGACCUUAUGUUCAGGAAGCAAGACUAUGAACAAGCAGUCUUUCAUUUCCAGCAGCUCCUCGAACGCAAGCCAGAUAACUAUGCCACUCUCUCGCGAUUAAUUGAUCUGUUAAGAAGAGCUGGGAAACUAGAAGAAGUCCCAAGUUUUCUUUUAAUGGCUGAAAAACAUUCUUCCAGAGCAAAGCUUGAACCAGGCUUUCACUACUGCAAGGGGCUGUAUCUCUGGUAUACAGGUGAACCAAAUGAUGCACUCCGCCAUUUUAAUAAAGCUCGAAAGGACAAUGACUGGGGACAGAAUGCAGUCUACAACAUGAUUGAAAUUUGUUUGAACCCAGAUAAUGAAACUAUAGGUGGUGAAGUCUUUGAAAAUCUGGAUGCUGACAUAGGUAAUUCGACAGAGAAGCAGGAGUCUGUGCAGUUGGCUGUAAGAACAGCAGAAAAUCUUCUGAAGGAACUCAAGCCUCAGACCAUUCAGGGUCACAUUCAGCUGCGAAUCAUGGAAAAUUAUUGUCUCAUGGCAACCAAGCAGAAAUCAAAUGUCGAACGAGCACUGAACACUUUCACUGAAAUAGUAGUGGCUGAGAAAGAUCACAUACCAGCACUUCUGGGAAUGGCUACAGCCUACAUGAUCUUGAAACAGACUCCACGAGCUAGAAAUCAUUUAAAACGGAUUUCAAAAAUGAACUGGAAUCCCAUUGAUGCAGAGGAGUUUGAAAAGAGUUGGCUUCUGCUUGCAGACAUAUAUAUUCAGUCUUCAAAAUAUGAUACAGCAGGUGAAUUAUUAAAACGAUGCCUUCGGCAUAACAAGUCCUGUUGCAAGGCUUAUGAGUACAUGGGAUACAUAAUGGAAAAGGAACAAGCGUACAAGGAUGCAGCAAUAAAUUAUGAGAUGGCUUGGAGAUAUGGAAACCAAUCAAAUCCAACCAUAGGAUACAAGUUGGCUUUCAAUUACCUGAAAGGAAAGAGAUAUGUUGAUGCAAUUACUAUUUGUCAUAAGGAAAAGUCUGCAGCCCUGGAAGGAAUUGUAGCUAUUCUGCAGAAAAUACUGCUUGCAUGUAUGGUACAAAAAAUAUCCAGAAAUAAAAAAUAACAAAGAUAAAGACCAGGAGCAUCUCUAUAGAAUACUGCCCAAGUGCAUUUCAGAUAAACACACAACUUGGAUUCUAGUGACUGACUUACUGGAGGCUUUCAUGGAGAUGAAUAUUUGUCAUGUUUAAUUUGGAGUGUUUAGUCUUGCGUCUUGCAUGUAUCAUGGUUGUGGAUCUGUAAGGGAUUGGUGGCAUGCUGUGAAUGAAAGAACAACUUAACAUUGACAACUCAGCAUAAAAGGUACAUGAAAUACUGUUUGAAAUUGUGUGUAAUCUUCCUUUCUGUAACUGGGUGCAAUGUCUUGGGUAACUUACAGCCUUGUUUCCUAAACAGAUCGAUAUGUAUCCUGAAUGCAGCGAUGCUACCUACUGGGGGUUUCUAGAUCCUGCAUUCAAGGAAGUGCUGAGCUUUUGGUCAGCCAAAAUAAAAUUAAUGGAAACUAA